Molecule: ribosomal RNA, 513 nt
Filed under: uncultured Nostoc sp.
Lineage: Bacteria; Bacillati; Cyanobacteriota; Cyanophyceae; Nostocales; Nostocaceae
Description: bacterial SSU rRNA
Rfam family: Bacterial small subunit ribosomal RNA
Source: RNAcentral
CGGGUGAGUAACGCGUGAGAAUCUGGCUUCAGGUCUGGGACAACCACUGGAAACGGUGGCUAAUACCGGAUGUGCCGAGAGGUGAAAGGUUAACUGCCUGGAGAUGAGCUCGCGUCUGAUUAGCUAGUAGGUGCGGUAAAGGCGCACCUAGGCGACGAUCAGUAGCUGGUCUGAGAGGACGAUCAGCCACACUGGGACUGAGACACGGCCCAGACUCCUACGGGAGGCAGCAGUGGGGAAUUUUCCGCAAUGGGCGAAAGCCUGACGGGGCAAUACCGCGUGAGGGAGGAAGGCUCUUGGGUCGUAAACCUCUUUUCUCAGGGAAGAACACAAUGACGGUACCUGAGGAAUAAGCAUCGGCUAACUCCGUGCCAGCAGCCGCGGUAAUACGGAGGAUGCAAGCGUUAUCCGGAAUGAUUGGGCGUAAAGCGUCCGCAGGUGGCUGUGUAAGUCUGCUGUUAAAGAGUCUAGCUCAACUAGAUAAGAGCAGUGGAAACUACACGGCUAGUACGG